UGAGGGAAUAUUUGGGUCAAUGGACGGAAGUCUGAACCAGCCAUGCCGCGUGCAGGACUAAGGCCCUAUGGGUCGUAAACUGCUUUUGUGGUGGAGCAAUAAGGUUCACGUGUGGACCGAUGAGAGUACACUACGAAUAAGCAUCGGCUAACUCCGUGCCAGCAGCCGCGGUAAUACGGAGGAUGCAAGCGUUAUCCGGAUUUAUUGGGUUUAAAGGGUGCGUAGGCUGUGCUGCAAGUCGGAGGUGAAAUAUCCUGGCUCAACCGGGAGGGUGCCUUCGAUACUGCAGUGCUGGAAUACUGUUGCCGCGGGAGGAAUGAGUAGUGUAGCGGUGAAAUGCAUAGAUAUUACUCAGAACACCGAUUGCGAAGGCAUCUCGCGAAGCAGUUAUUGACGCUGAGGGCACGAAAGCGU
This 414-nucleotide ribosomal RNA is filed under the name uncultured bacterium. RNAcentral describes it as "bacterial SSU rRNA". It matches the Rfam family "Bacterial small subunit ribosomal RNA", at positions 352 to 762 of the family's 1533-position model. The record is from RNAcentral.